RNAcentral lists this long non-coding RNA (879 nucleotides) under Homo sapiens (human). RNAcentral's name for it is "HSALNT0108354". Lineage: Eukaryota; Metazoa; Chordata; Mammalia; Primates; Hominidae. The record is from RNAcentral.
AGCACAAUAUUCGGGUCGGAGUGACCCGAUUUUCCAGGCUCUAAGACAAUGGAAAAUUAUAUGAGAACAAGGGGUCAUGAUUUCUAGAGUGUGGAAGGAACCAUCAUUUCAGAAUCCACUGUCAUCCUUGAAGAAGUCAGGCCCUCAUUCAAGAUCAUUUGUUAUCAGAGACUGCUGAAGAGAAGUACAUGGUACCUUGAAGUGGUUUUAAUUAAAUCAAGAAACUUUAUGAGGCAGUGGGGUAGAAACUUGGCAGAAAACUCCUGUAAUUAUAAAACUUCCAGCUAUUUUCUAUGUACAAGAGCUAAAGACUGAACAUCUCUUUGCUUCAGAUUUUUUUUAUUUUUGGUAAAAUAUUGCAAUCCUUUAUGCGUGCAGGGGGUUGGGGCGGUUGAGUCACUUUAUUUUGGUUAGGCAUAGGUGAGGGCAAGCCCUCUGCUGAAAUGGAGAUUGCAGUGACUUUCUGGCUCUGAGGAGAAAAACAUUUUCAUUGGAGAGAAAUGAAUCACAUUAGGGAGAAACUAUUUUCAAGGGAGUUAAAUCUGAGCUGAUGGGAAAGAUAAACAGUGUGGGAGAGCACACCAUUCUUCACACCUCUUCAGAUAACCCAGAUUACUCUGACAAUACAAAGACUGGCAGCUUUGGAAACCCUGAGACACACUAUUUUGGUGUUUACAGUGGUGUUCUCACAAUGGUCAAUCAACAAUGUCUGUGGAUCUGCAAGCAGAUUUAUAGCCAAAGAGAAUGGACAAUAGGAGCUGGAGCUGAAAAGCAAGAUGGAAGGCACUGAAUAUGGAUGGCAAGCUGCCAGACUAGUUUUGGUUUUAUGCCCAGCUUCCUUUUGGAGGCUCUAACCCUUAGCUAUUAGAUGCUCUGAAG